GGCGCCGUGGCUUAGUUGGUUAAAGCGCCUGUCUAGUAAACAGGAGAUCCUGGGUUCGAAUCCCAGCCGAAUCCGGUGCCU
This is a non-coding RNA of Carassius gibelio (silver crucian carp), 81 nucleotides long. Lineage: Eukaryota; Metazoa; Chordata; Actinopteri; Cypriniformes; Cyprinidae. The record is from the annotation of a RefSeq genome assembly.